CUUUGCCUGAAAGCUGUGAAGGGUAAUAAAAAUCAGAAAUAAAUAACUAUUUCAGUAAAUAAAUAGGGAUAGGGAAGUAAUAUCAAAAGCUAGAAAGUUAGAAUGUGGGAAACCUGAUGAUGAAAGUUAGGUAGAGGUAAAAACCUUUGCUUUUGAUGCUAAAUGUUUUGCUGAUGAUUUCAUUUUAGCUGAAAUGUUUGGGUAGGUUAAAACAUAGGCUCUGAGGGAUAUUUAAGGUACAGUGUAUGUUUAUCUUGUUAUAGGCUAUGUAGAGAAAUUGUACAGUUGAUGUCAGCCUGGUUUCUGGCCAUUUGUCGGGUACUCUGUAUAUUUGUCUCUGUAUAGCUUAGUAUUGCUUUGCUUUCUUGGUCAUCAUUGUGUAAUCAUGCCCUGAGUGGAAUAGCAGCUUCAGUGGUUCAGUGAAUUUAGUGUGUUUUUUUUUGUUUGUUUGUUUUGUUUGUUUUGGUUUUGUUGUGUUUGUUUUUUUCCUAUUGUAUUAAAUUACCAAACUUCAUGCUUGUAUUUAUUUACUUUGUUGCUAAUGUUGAUCAAGUAUAAGAAGGCAAACAGUUUAUAAUGGAAAUCUCCUCUUUCUGUCUUUGUAGUUACCAUGUCCAGCUGAUGCAAAUUCUCUCUAAAUUGGUAUAAAUGGGAUUCCCUUAUAACAUAUGCAAGCAAAUCCUGCCCUCACCAUCAGUAUUUAGCAGCAAAAUGAGCACCUGUAAAGCCAGUGACACCAACGUAGGGAAGAAUUUCUAUUGCCUCUAGUUCAUCUUAAUAUGAUCAUCGAAGCAUCGCUUUUUAUUUUACUAUGUAUGUAUACUUACAAAAACAGAUGAACUCUCAGAUAAUAUGGUCCAACUCUACAGAGAGUGCUUUGGAGAUUCAAAUUAAAGACAAAAUGGACAGUACCAAUAAUUAUUUUUACAUAAGGAUUCUGAAAAAGUUUCUUUUCCUGCAAUGA
RNAcentral lists this long non-coding RNA (964 nucleotides) under Anser brachyrhynchus (Pink-footed goose). RNAcentral describes it as "lncRNA (ENSABRG00000000250.1)". The record is from RNAcentral. Lineage: Eukaryota; Metazoa; Chordata; Aves; Anseriformes; Anatidae.